Molecule: ribosomal RNA, 407 nt
Filed under: uncultured bacterium
Lineage: Bacteria
Description: partial 16S ribosomal RNA
Rfam family: Bacterial small subunit ribosomal RNA
Source: RNAcentral
AAUAUUGCGCAAUGGAGGGAACUCUGACGCAGCGACGCCGCAUGAGCGAUGAAGGUUUUCGGAUCGUAACGCGCUGUCCUAGGGGAAGAAGGUCUUCGGCCAUGACGGUAUCUAAGGAGGAAGCCCCGUCUAACUACGUGCCAGCAGCCGCGGUAAUACGUAGGGGGCAAGCGUUGUCCGGAAUUAUUGGGCGUAAAGGGUACGUAGGCGGCUAUAUAAGUCAGGUGUGAAAUACCAGUGCUUAACACUGGAAUUGCAUUUGAAACUGUGUAGCUUGAGAGCAGGAGAGGAAAGUGGAAUUCCUAGUGUAGCGGUGAAAUGCGUAGAGAUUAGGAGGAACACCAGUGGCGAAGGCGACUUUCUGGACUGUAACUGACGCUGAGGUACGAAAGCGUGGGUAGCGAACA